GAGCUGCUCAGGAUCAAUUCGGACCUCCAUAGAUGGUGGAGCCGAGGAGGAAGGUCCGGCGGAGGUGGUAGGAGCAGGAGGAGUGGAUGGAAGGUCUGGAUGGUCUGGAAGGUCUGGGUAGUCUGAAUCGGGCUCAGGACUGGGUGAAGGUCUGGUGGUCUGAGCGGUGAGGGUAGACUUCCUAACCCAUACCCCCUCUCUCUUCCGAAACUCCAUCCUGUG
Molecule: long non-coding RNA, 222 nt
Filed under: Phoenix dactylifera (date palm)
Lineage: Eukaryota; Viridiplantae; Streptophyta; Magnoliopsida; Arecales; Arecaceae
Description: long non-coding RNA (PDAC_LNC008963)
Source: RNAcentral